GACGAAGGAUGCAAGCGUUAUCCGGAUUCAUUGGGUUUAAAGGGUGCGUAGGAGGGCAGGUAAGUCAGUGGUGAAAUCUCCGAGCUUAACUUGGAAACUGCCGUUGAUACUAUCUGUCUUGAAUAUUGUGGAGGUGAGCGGAAUAUGUCAUGUAGCGGUGAAAUGCUUAGAUAUGACAUAGAACACCAAUUGCGAAGGCAGCUCGCUACACAUAUAUUGACUCUGAGGCACGAAAGCGUGGGGAUCAAACAGG
RNAcentral lists this ribosomal RNA (253 nucleotides) under uncultured prokaryote. RNAcentral's name for it is "partial 16S ribosomal RNA". It matches the Rfam family "Bacterial small subunit ribosomal RNA", at positions 524 to 776 of the family's 1533-position model. The record is from RNAcentral.